This 116-nucleotide ribosomal RNA is filed under the name Pteropus alecto (black flying fox). RNAcentral also lists the same sequence under 1 other name. Lineage: Eukaryota; Metazoa; Chordata; Mammalia; Chiroptera; Pteropodidae. The record is from RNAcentral.
GUCUAUGGCCAUGCCACCCUGAACAAACCCAAUGUCUGAUCUCAGAAGCUAAGCAGGGUUGGGCCUGGUUAGUACUUGGAUGAGAGACUACCUAGGAAGACCAGGUGCUGUAGGCA